This 359-nucleotide transfer RNA is filed under the name uncultured Microcystis sp. Its description in RNAcentral is "partial 16S-23S ribosomal RNA intergenic spacer". The stretch from base 134 to 207 matches the Rfam family "tRNA". The record is from RNAcentral. Lineage: Bacteria; Bacillati; Cyanobacteriota; Cyanophyceae; Chroococcales; Microcystaceae.
AAAGGGAGACCUAAUUCGGGUAUAAGACGAAAAAAUAGUAGUCGAAACCAAGAAUCAAUCCCAAAAGGUCGGAACGAGGUAUGUGGCUUUCAAACUAGGUUCUGGGUUCAUAAAAGACCUGAAUCAGGAACAAGGGCUAUUAGCUCAGGUGGUUAGAGCGCACCCCUGAUAAGGGUGAGGUCCCUGGUUCGAGUCCAGGAUGGCCCACCUGCACAGGUGGUAAAAACAAGAGAAGCGAGGAAUCAGCACCUUAUCUUACUUACAUAGUAAGAGAGAAUGCUGGCUCUGAGUAAAGAGUCCAGAGGAACCUUGAAAACUGCAUAGAGCUAGGUGAAAAAGCCAAAAAAGAAGACCGCAAG